Molecule: ribosomal RNA, 656 nt
Filed under: uncultured bacterium
Lineage: Bacteria
Description: bacterial SSU rRNA
Rfam family: Bacterial small subunit ribosomal RNA
Source: RNAcentral
GAACGGGUGAGUAAUACAUAAAUAAUCUACCAUAAUGACUGGGAUAACCAAUGGAAACGCUGGCUAAUACCGGAUAGGUAAAACGAGGGCAUCUUUGUUUUAUUAAAGUAGGGCUACUACACAAUAUGAUGAGUUUAUGGCGCAUUAGCUAGUUGGUGAGGUAACGGCUCACCAAGGCGAUGAUGCGUAGCCGACCUGAGAGGGUGACCGGCCACACUGGGACUGAGACACGGCCCAGACUCCUACGGGAGGCAGCAGUAGGGAAUUUUCGGCAAUGGGCGCAAGCCUGACCGAGCAACGCCGCGUGAGUGAAGAAGGCCUUCGGGUUGUAAAGCUCUGUUGUAAGGGAAGAACACUUUUUAGAGGAAAUGCUAGAGAGCUGACGGUACCUUACCAGAAAGCCACGGCUAACUACGUGCCAGCAGCCGCGGUAAUACGUAGGUGGCGAGCGUUAUCCGGAAUUAUUGGGCGUAAAGGGUGCGUAGGCGGUUUAUUAAGUCUGUGGCGAAAGUGCGGGGCUCAACCCCGUAUGGCCACAGAAACUGAUAGACUAGAGUACAGGAGAGGGCAGUGGAAUUCCAUGUGUAGCGGUAAAAUGCGUAGAUAUAUGGAGGAACACCGGUGGCGAAGGCGGCUGCCUGGCCUGUAACUGACGC